This is a long non-coding RNA of Calidris pugnax (ruff), 2570 nucleotides long. RefSeq lists it as uncharacterized. The record is from RefSeq and is a predicted model, not a curated record. Lineage: Eukaryota; Metazoa; Chordata; Aves; Charadriiformes; Scolopacidae. The transcript has 5 exons.
GAGCUUCAGGGAAGAUCAAGAAUAGGAGAUCAUCCUGCAUAACAGUCGUCUUGCUCACUGCAAGGCUUCUCUCCAGAUAACCAUCCUAUCAGCAAUGCUGCCCUGCUCCAUAGUGAUCUGGCUCUGAGUUCAGCUGCCCUCAACAUCCUUAAGUAAAGUAGUGAAGGCUUGGAUUCUUCAGAUUUUCUUUAUCCUAAAGAAAAUAUGAUAAGAACACCUUGGGACUGUCAUAGCCCUCCUAGGAACUUGGGCGGCCUGGGACGAUAGAUUAUCUAGGUGCUGCCAAUCGUGGUACUACUCCUUCUCCAAAGGAGAUGAUCUGCAUCUGGAGCUGAGCCAUCCAUUGGAUUAAGUUAAUCUUCGCAAAGCGCCUGUGCCUAGCACAUCCUGGGGAAGGAAGGACUUUUUUCCAAGCAAGGUAUGAUGGCUCAAAUCAACCAGCCAACUUCUCUCUGCUGGAGGACGAUGUCUGAACAAAGGGCAAUCCAACACCCAAGAGAGAAUCCAUAGCAUUUGUGGAUGCUAAAACCAGAAAUCCUGUGGAGCCUUCCACUGUUGGAAGAGGAAUAUGACUUGAGUGUGAAGGAGACUAACUGCUGGUGACUGGGGACCAAUCCUCUGCAAAGCAGGUUGCUUGAUUGUUUCUGCUCAUCACCACCAGAUUUUUAAGAACAGCAAUGCACCCUCGGGCCAUGCAGGCAGCAGUGUCUGAAGGCUGCUUCCAAGCUGACUUUUGGCUAGCAGGAAUGAUUCUGAAAGUUGGAUGAGACUGAAUCGAGCAAGUGAGAAAUCCAGACAUUUCACCAGUGAGGAGACUAAAAGUGCACAGAUACCUUGAACAUUGAAGACCCAGCUGAAGAGAGCAUUAAAGCGUGGCCAAGGGCGGGCAAAGCUGGAGGAUAACACAACUGAGGCAAUGGAAGAAAACAGCCAUCACACUAAUACAACACUUGAGGACUUUUUUUUUUUUUUUAAAAUUGUAUGCUACCAAGGACAUUUCUGACAUUAAGCAAAUAGUAGGAGGAAAAUACAAAUACAAAUGUAUGAAUACUCCCAGAGGCCUUGGCCAUAUAGCCCAUGCACUCCUCUGCCUGAUCAAGUUUGAUUGAUGCUCAGGUACCUCAGCGUCCACUUCAUCUCCUUGAUACCAAGCCAGGAGAUUCCAGAUGCUACGUCUGUGCCAUCCCAGGGAUUCCUCCCGUGCUCUGCAAGGACCUCUGCAACUGAAGUGUACAGACUCAUGGUCCAUCAGACCCUGCAAACUUCACUGUUUUCACAGAGAUGUAUCUUUAGGGCUGAUGCAUCCCUUUAUGUUCGUGUCUGAAUGAAUUGUUGGAGCUUCAGAGAGAAAAUGCCUUCAAUAUCAUCUGUGGUAUUGCUUUUAUCAGCUGCAGGCUGUACUUUACAUGGUCUCUCUGUGUGUCAGAGGAAGAAGUGACUGACCUGACUCUUGCAUUCAAACUUCCAUAAUAAGUAUUUAUGGUUUUCCCUAGGCACACUGGCUUUAUGUCCAGAAAACAAGGUUUUAGUGACCAGUGUGUCUUCCUUUGCUCAGCAUCAAGCCCUGAGUUCUAUUUUCAUUUUUAUCAAUAGCUCUUUCCCUUCCUGAUGACAAUUCCUUUCAAACAUUUGUAGAUUGUUUUAAAGUCACCUUUUAAUCAUCUUGUAGAACUGGGCUGUGUAUACUUAGCUCCAUUAACCUUACUUUAUUUAGCUGCUAUACAGCAAGGCAAGAUGCUCCCAUCAAAUAACCUUCACCUUCCCCUCUCUGUCUGAAUGGUGACUACCCUCAAUCCAAGGGACUGGGCACUUCUGCAGCCUGGGGUGCUCCACAGGUGGGUCUGGGUCAGGGUGAUGGAAAAGAGCAUUUCACCCCACUUUACAGUCUGGAAAUGUAGGGCAGCAAUCCAAAAUAACGCUUUUUGCUUUUAAGAACACUAUAUUCAUCCUCUAAAUCAGGAAAGCUAAUUGGUCUGGCUGCUCUGACAGUAUUUUCUCUUGGGAAAAAAAGUUGCACUCCUUCAACAUUCAGAGCUUUUUAAUCCUGGUGCCAAAUGCAUUUCUCUGAAUUAAUAUUGGUGGAAUGAAAAGGCUUUCUUCUCUGCUUCAGCCUUCUCUCCCAGGAUAAAUCUUUUUGGAAUUUGCUUUAUAUAUUGUGCUUUUGAAUGUUCUUUUAAAUGUUAAAAAAUGACUGUGUGAGAAUGUCGCCUUCUCAUUAGCAAAAUUUACUACAUAUUUUCCUCCAUUGUUACCAGUACAGUUCCAGCAGUGUUAACAAUGGGAACCCUAGAGCAAAUGGUCUGGCACCAGCACUUGUCAUCUAACUACGGCUGGUCAAAAAUGUGUUUGAAAAGUGGUUUUGUGUUUUUUAAAUGUGCUUGUUUUAAGUAAGCAUUUCCAAAUGAAUUUUUAAAAUUAAAAAAAAUCCAAUUUUUAUUAUGUUUUAAUCAGGAAGAUAUUGGGGGUUUUGGUCUUUUUUGGAAAACCUAUGGUGGUGAGUAAAAUAAAGUAAGUUCUCCACUCCCCUGCCUUGUUCUUUACUUGGGGGGAGGAUGAUAACAAAAGAAGAC